AUAGGGGACCUCGAGUGCCAGGUUACAAAUCUGGCUGUCGUGAUGCCUAAAAAGCAUUGCAUAGCAAGGGCCGGGCAAGACCGGUGCCAGCCGCUGCGGUAACACCGGCGGCUCGAGUGGUAACCGUUAUUAUUGGGUCUAAAGGGUCUGUAGCCGGCCGGGUAAGUCUCUUGGGAAAUCUGGCAGCUUAACUGUCAGGCUUUCAGGAGAUACUGUCUGGCUCGAGGCCGGGAGAGGUGAGAGGUACUUCAGGGGCAGGGGUGAAAUCUUGUAAUCCUUGAAGGACCACCAGUGGCGAAGGCGUCUCACCAGAACGGACCUGACGGCAAGGGACGAAAGCUAGGGGCACGAACCGGAUUAGAUACCCGGGUAGUCCUAGCCGUAAACGAUACUCGCUAGGUGUCGGCAACGGUGCGACCGUUGUCGGUGCCGUAGGGAAGCCGUGAAGCGAGCCACCUGGGAAGUACGGCCGCAAGGCUGAAACUUAAAGGAAUUGGCGGGGGAGCACCACAACGGGUGGAGCUUGCGGUUUAAUUGGAUUCAACGCCGGAAAUCUUACCGGGACCGACAGCAAUAUGAAGGCCAGGCUGAAGACUUUGCCGGAUUAGCUGAGAGGUGGUGCAUGGCCGUCGUCAGUUCGUACUGUGAAGCAUCCUGUUAAGUCAGGCAACGAGCGAGACCCACGCCCACAGUUGCCAGCGUACUCUCCGGAGUGACGGGUACACUGUGGGGACCGCCGCUGCUAAAGCGGAGGAAGGAAUGGGCAACGGUAGGUCAGUAUGCC
This 784-nucleotide ribosomal RNA is filed under the name uncultured archaeon. RNAcentral describes it as "bacterial SSU rRNA". It matches the Rfam family "Archaeal small subunit ribosomal RNA", at positions 371 to 1155 of the family's 1478-position model. The record is from RNAcentral.